GACGAACGCUGGCGGCGUGCUUAACACAUGCAAGUCGAACGGAAAGGCCCUGCUUUUGUGGGGUGCUCGAGUGGCGAACGGGUGAGUAACACGUGAGUAACCUGCCCUUGACUUUGGGAUAACUUCAGGAAACUGGGGCUCAUACCGGAUAGGAGCUCCUGCUGCAUGGUGGGGGUUGGAAAGUUUCGGCGGUUGGGGAUAGACUCGCGGCUUAUCAGCUUGUUGGUGGGGUAGUGGCUUACCAAGGCUUUGACGGGUAGCCGGCCUGAGAGGGUGACCGGCGACAUUGGGACUGAGAGACGGACCAGACGCCUACGGGAGGCAGCAGGGGAGAAUAUGGCACAAUGGGCGGAAGCCUGAGGCAGCAACGCCGCGUGCGUGAUGACGUCCUUCGGGGUGUAAACCGCUGUCGCCUGUGACGAAGCGGGAGUGACGGUAAUGGGUAAAGAAGCACCGGCUAACUACGUG
RNAcentral lists this ribosomal RNA (468 nucleotides) under uncultured bacterium. RNAcentral's name for it is "partial 16S ribosomal RNA". It matches the Rfam family "Bacterial small subunit ribosomal RNA", at positions 28 to 507 of the family's 1533-position model. The record is from RNAcentral.